UUGGAUUUAACAAACUUGCCAGCAAGACUGUGAGUGAAUCACUAUGUGCUACCAUGCGCCCAGCAACUUCCACCAUAUUGUGUGUAGAAUUAAAAAGUCUUUGAGUAAGGGUUUGGCAGAAAUUGGCUCCUCUAAGAAGUGAACGAAAAAAAAGUAAUUUAACAUUUUGUUAGAUCUGGAACUAUAUUCACAAUAUAUUCUAUACCAUGGUGUAUGGUAACUGCUGAGUCACUGCCUGAACCACUGAUUGAGCACCUGGGGAAAGGACCCAGUCAGCCCUGGGAGCACAGGUGAAGGCAAUUCAGCUGUGUGAGCAGAAGGGGUGGAGCCUGGCUGCACCUCUCUUAGACUUCAUUUCAUGGCUGGCUGCCACUGGGGAGGAUCUCUGGUUGGGGACCUCUUCCUUGAGGAGUUUUCUCUGUGAGCCUAGAUUUUUGGAGUCAGGCCUUGCCUUUGUUUGUGACCUGAUUCUCAUGACCUUCCUUCUUAAAAACGUCCCUUCUCAGCAGACGUCAGUCCUGUUCUUUCCUGACAUUAUCACAAAUGCUGAUGAUCACCAUGAGGACCUUGGUCUCUGCAUUCCUUCUUCCAGUCAAGAUAACACAGAGGACCUUCCUGCACCCCUCCUCUUUUCACAGAUCCUGGGAGGAGAUUGGGGUGGUCACAUAAGCCAUAUCUGCAGUCUUCAUUUCCACAACUCCUCACAUGCGAGUGGUGGAAACUUCCAAAUAUACACACGUGCGUACCUGUUAGCUGCUGUAGUGCCACAUCAACAUAGCAAACUCAAGUUAAAAUAUCCUGGGCUGCCUCAUUCCAGGAUCAAAUAUAGAAUUAUUCCUUACAGUAUUUUUUAUUUUUCUUUUCUGCAAUGUAAUUAGUCUGGCUAUAGUCUAUUCAAAGCUUUCUGUUGUUCUGUUUCCACUAUGCCUGAUAUCUGAUUCUGCUGAAAAUAGACCCUGUGGUAAGGAAACAUAUUCUGCUCUUUGGUUUCAUGCUUUCUUUUUGUUAUUUUGAUCCCUGCUUAUCUGCACUCUCCACAACUCACUGAUGCAGUUCCUCCCACUGUUUUGCAAUGCCCUUCAGAUACUGGAAGAUGCUUCAUAUCUUUGAUGAGAGAUGGAGAUCAAAUUUUCUCCUCAUUAUCGUUCAGCCAAAUACACAGUUCUGUUCUUUAACGAUGCUUUGUAUGCCCCUCCUUCAGAUCCUCUCAUCUUUUAUAAUGUUUCACUCCAAACUGUGUCCAGUAGUGCACUUUCUGUGAGAUCUCUGAUUUCCCAAGUGAUCUCCAGAAAACUGUUGUCAUAUCCUUUUAGAAAAGGUCACUUCUGAGUAACUUGAUGAAAGCUGCUCAUGUACUGCGCAGGAGCUCACUGGCUGCUCUGAGAGCCACAUUGCUUUGUCUGCUAGGUCUAGUUCAUGAUCCACUGAUAAUGCACUAUCAUUGGCAUUUAAGGGGUAUGCUUUGGAAGAUUUUGCAUGAUGGAUAUUCUGGUGAUAAGAUAUUAUUCCAUUUUGCCUCUGAAAUAUUUCUUCCCAUCUAUAUUUCACUGAAUUAUUUUGCAUUCUCCAUUCUACUUG
Long non-coding RNA from Coturnix japonica (Japanese quail), 1578 nucleotides. RefSeq lists it as uncharacterized. The record is from RefSeq and is a predicted model, not a curated record. Lineage: Eukaryota; Metazoa; Chordata; Aves; Galliformes; Phasianidae.